This 369-nucleotide ribosomal RNA is filed under the name uncultured bacterium. Its description in RNAcentral is "bacterial SSU rRNA". It matches the Rfam family "Bacterial small subunit ribosomal RNA", at positions 29 to 413 of the family's 1533-position model. The record is from RNAcentral.
AAUGAACGUUGGCGGCGUGGAUUAGGCAUGCAAGUCGCGCGACAAGGAACCUUCGGGUUCUGGAGGAGCGGCAAACGGGGUAGUAAGGCAUCGGAACGUACCCUCUUGUUGGGAAUAGCCGCGGGAAACUGCGAGUAAUGCCCAAUAAUCCCUACGGGGCAAAGGUCCGCCGCAGGAGGAGCGGCCGAUGUGAUACCAGCUAGUUGGUGAGGUAAUGGCUCACCAAGGCUUAGACGUCUAGGGGGUGUGAGAGCAUGGCCCCCACCACUGGGACUGAGAUACUGCCCACGACACCUACGGGUGGCUGCAGUCGAGAAUCUUCGGCAAUGGGCGCAAGCCUGACCGAGCAACGCCGCGUGCGGGAGUGAA